RNAcentral lists this ribosomal RNA (2789 nucleotides) under Escherichia coli. RNAcentral describes it as "bacterial LSU rRNA". It matches the Rfam family "Bacterial large subunit ribosomal RNA". The record is from RNAcentral. Lineage: Bacteria; Pseudomonadati; Pseudomonadota; Gammaproteobacteria; Enterobacterales; Enterobacteriaceae.
AGCGUACACGGUGGAUGCCCUGGCAGUCAGAGGCGAUGAAGGACGUGCUAAUCUGCGAUAAGCGUCGGUAAGGUGAUAUGAACCGUUAUAACCGGCGAUUUCCGAAUGGGGAAACCCAGUGUGUUUCGACACACUAUCAUUAACUGAAUCCAUAGGUUAAUGAGGCGAACCGGGGGAACUGAAACAUCUAAGUACCCCGAGGAAAAGAAAUCAACCGAGAUUCCCCCAGUAGCGGCGAGCGAACGGGGAGCAGCCCAGAGCCUGAAUCAGUGUGUGUGUUAGUGGAAGCGUCUGGAAAGGCGCGCGAUACAGGGUGACAGCCCCGUACACAAAAAUGCACAUGCUGUGAGCUCGAUGAGUAGGGCGGGACACGUGGUAUCCUGUCUGAAUAUGGGGGGACCAUCCUCCAAGGCUAAAUACUCCUGACUGACCGAUAGUGAACCAGUACCGUGAGGGAAAGGCGAAAAGAACCCCGGCGAGGGGAGUGAAAAAGAACCUGAAACCGUGUACGUACAAGCAGUGGGAGCACGCUUAGGCGUGUGACUGCGUACCUUUUGUAUAAUGGGUCAGCGACUUAUAUUCUGUAGCAAGGUUAACCGAAUAGGGGAGCCGAAGGGAAACCGAGUCUUAACUGGGCGUUAAGUUGCAGGGUAUAGACCCGAAACCCGGUGAUCUAGCCAUGGGCAGGUUGAAGGUUGGGUAACACUAACUGGAGGACCGAACCGACUAAUGUUGAAAAAUUAGCGGAUGACUUGUGGCUGGGGGUGAAAGGCCAAUCAAACCGGGAGAUAGCUGGUUCUCCCCGAAAGCUAUUUAGGUAGCGCCUCGUGAAUUCAUCUCCGGGGGUAGAGCACUGUUUCGGCAAGGGGGUCAUCCCGACUUACCAACCCGAUGCAAACUGCGAAUACCGGAGAAUGUUAUCACGGGAGACACACGGCGGGUGCUAACGUCCGUCGUGAAGAGGGAAACAACCCAGACCGCCAGCUAAGGUCCCAAAGUCAUGGUUAAGUGGGAAACGAUGUGGGAAGGCCCAGACAGCCAGGAUGUUGGCUUAGAAGCAGCCAUCAUUUAAAGAAAGCGUAAUAGCUCACUGGUCGAGUCGGCCUGCGCGGAAGAUGUAACGGGGCUAAACCAUGCACCGAAGCUGCGGCAGCGACGCUGAUGCGUUGUUGGGUAGGGGAGCGUUCUGUAAGCCUGUGAAGGUGUGCUGUGAGGCAUGCUGGAGGUAUCAGAAGUGCGAAUGCUGACAUAAGUAACGAUAAAGCGGGUGAAAAGCCCGCUCGCCGGAAGACCAAGGGUUCCUGUCCAACGUUAAUCGGGGCAGGGUGAGUCGACCCCUAAGGCGAGGCCGAAAGGCGUAGUCGAUGGGAAACAGGUUAAUAUUCCUGUACUUGGUGUUACUGCGAAGGGGGGACGGAGAAGGCUAUGUUGGCCGGGCGACGGUUGUCCCGGUUUAAGCGUGUAGGCUGGUUUUCCAGGCAAAUCCGGAAAAUCAAGGCUGAGGCGUGAUGACGAGGCACUACGGUGCUGAAGCAACAAAUGCCCUGCUUCCAGGAAAAGCCUCUAAGCAUCAGGUAACAUCAAAUCGUACCCCAAACCGACACAGGUGGUCAGGUAGAGAAUACCAAGGCGCUUGAGAGAACUCGGGUGAAGGAACUAGGCAAAAUGGUGCCGUAACUUCGGGAGAAGGCACGCUGAUAUGUAGGUGAAGUCCCUCGCGGAUGGAGCUGAAAUCAGUCGAAGAUACCAGCUGGCUGCAACUGUUUAUUAAAAACACAGCACUGUGCAAACACGAAAGUGGACGUAUACGGUGUGACGCCUGCCCGGUGCCGGAAGGUUAAUUGAUGGGGUUAGCCGCAAGGCGAAGCUCUUGAUCGAAGCCCCGGUAAACGGCGGCCGUAACUAUAACGGUCCUAAGGUAGCGAAAUUCCUUGUCGGGUAAGUUCCGACCUGCACGAAUGGCGUAAUGAUGGCCAGGCUGUCUCCACCCGAGACUCAGUGAAAUUGAACUCGCUGUGAAGAUGCAGUGUACCCGCGGCAAGACGGAAAGACCCCGUGAACCUUUACUAUAGCUUGACACUGAACAUUGAGCCUUGAUGUGUAGGAUAGGUGGGAGGCUUAGAAGUGUGGACGCCAGUCUGCAUGGAGCCGACCUUGAAAUACCACCCUUUAAUGUUUGAUGUUCUAACGUUGACCCGUAAUCCGGGUUGCGGACAGUGUCUGGUGGGUAGUUUGACUGGGGCGGUCUCCUCCUAAAGAGUAACGGAGGAGCACGAAGGUUGGCUAAUCCUGGUCGGACAUCAGGAGGUUAGUGCAAUGGCAUAAGCCAGCUUGACUGCGAGCGUGACGGCGCGAGCAGGUGCGAAAGCAGGUCAUAGUGAUCCGGUGGUUCUGAAUGGAAGGGCCAUCGCUCAACGGAUAAAAGGUACUCCGGGGAUAACAGGCUGAUACCGCCCAAGAGUUCAUAUCGACGGCGGUGUUUGGCACCUCGAUGUCGGCUCAUCACAUCCUGGGGCUGAAGUAGGUCCCAAGGGUAUGGCUGUUCGCCAUUUAAAGUGGUACGCGAGCUGGGUUUAGAACGUCGUGAGACAGUUCGGUCCCUAUCUGCCGUGGGCGCUGGAGAACUGAGGGGGGCUGCUCCUAGUACGAGAGGACCGGAGUGGACGCAUCACUGGUGUUCGGGUUGUCAUGCCAAUGGCACUGCCCGGUAGCUAAAUGCGGAAGAGAUAAGUGCUGAAAGCAUCUAAGCACGAAACUUGCCCCGAGAUGAGUUCUCCCUGACUCCUUGA